Long non-coding RNA from Oryzias melastigma (Indian medaka), 520 nucleotides. RefSeq lists it as uncharacterized. The transcript is spliced from 2 exons. Lineage: Eukaryota; Metazoa; Chordata; Actinopteri; Beloniformes; Adrianichthyidae. The record is from RefSeq and is a predicted model, not a curated record.
CAGUGUUUUACAUGAAAAAGCCUUCAGAUAACAAACGAUUAGUAGUAAAGUAUAGAAGUAAAAGAUUUACUUUGCAAAUAUAGGAAGAGUAACACGCUGAGAAAUGGGAGCGGACUGAUGUGGGACAGCAAGCCAUCAAACUGGGUCACAGAGACAGAAGUACCUCCAUCACUAGCUCCUGCAGCAGAUGGUGAAGCUCACCAAAUGGAGGGAAUCUUUAAAUGAUUUCCUGAACCCAGACAUGAAGAUAUGAUUUUGUAGAAAUAAACAAACCUGAUCUCUCAACGUCAUUCAUGUCUUCUAUCCUUUGACUGUAAAUGAGAUUUACAGUCAAUGUGUCCAUGUAGCAAUGAGGCUAAAAACUUUUUUUGUACCUCCUCCCAGAUACAGUGGAAGGAAUUAAGUUUAUGAUAAAAAAAUUUGGACAAUUAGGCUCAACAGCGAAAACUUGAAAAAUCUGAAAUGAAGCUGUAAACUGAGAACUGAAAGCAAAGAAGACAAAAAAAGUUGAAAAAAACAA